AGGGAAGGAGGCAAUGGUGUAUAGUAAAAUAUGAAAAAUAGAGAAUUGAUGAAUAAAUUAAAAAUAAAGAAUUAAAAGUUCGGCGGAGAAAAGAAAAAAGGUCAUGAUGAAUAAUUGGAGAUAGAGAUGUUAGGAUUAUAGAUGAUAGUGAGACAAUUUAAAUAUGCUAAUUGGAAGUUUGGUAGUGAGACUGUUUGUAUUAAUUGAAAGUAUAAUGGAGAAAGAGGAAAGAGAAAGGUUCAUGAUGAAUAAUUGUAGAUAGAAAUAAUAAAAUUAUCGAUGAUAGUGGACGAUUUAAAUGCACUAAUUAAAAAGUUGGUUAAUGGUACCGUUAAAAUACAUAUUGAAGAUUUGGUGAACGAAAAAAAAAAAAAAAAAAAUACAUACUAAUAAGAGUGAAGAAGAAUUUGCCACGUGUCAACAAAUAUUAGGUAUUCAUACGGGUUAAUAGAUAAAUUG
This 459-nucleotide long non-coding RNA is filed under the name Ananas comosus (pineapple). RNAcentral's name for it is "long non-coding RNA (ACOM_LNC022017)". The record is from RNAcentral. Lineage: Eukaryota; Viridiplantae; Streptophyta; Magnoliopsida; Poales; Bromeliaceae.